UGGGGAAUAUUGGACAAUGGGGGAAACCCUGAUCCAGCGACGCCGCGUGUGUGAAGAAGGCCUGCGGGUUGUAAAGCACUUUCGGUGGGAACGAAAUAUGCCGGGCUAAUACCCCGGUAGGCUGACGUUACUCAAUGAAGAAGCACCGGCUAACUCUGUGCCAGCAGCCGCGGUAAUACAGAGGGUGCAAACGUUGCUCGGAAUUAUUGGGCGUAAAGCGCGUGUAGGCGGCUUGUUAAGUUGGUUGUGAAAACCCAUGGCUCAACCAUGGAAGUGCGUCCAAAACUGGCAAGCUAGAGUUCUGACGAGGAUGGCGGAAUUCCCAGUGUAGAGGUGAAAUUCGUAGAUAUUGGGAGGAACACCGGUGGCGAAGGCGGCCAUCUGGGAAGAUACUGACGCUGAGACGCGAAAGCGUGGGGAGCAAACAGGAUUAGAUACCCCAGUAGUCCCUGAGCGGGCUGGCAAGGCGCAU
This 472-nucleotide ribosomal RNA is filed under the name uncultured bacterium. Its description in RNAcentral is "bacterial SSU rRNA". It matches the Rfam family "Bacterial small subunit ribosomal RNA", at positions 355 to 825 of the family's 1533-position model. The record is from RNAcentral.